RNAcentral lists this ribosomal RNA (486 nucleotides) under uncultured bacterium. RNAcentral's name for it is "bacterial SSU rRNA". It matches the Rfam family "Bacterial small subunit ribosomal RNA", at positions 8 to 507 of the family's 1533-position model. The record is from RNAcentral.
AGAGUUUGAUCAUGGCUCAGGAUGAACGCUGGCGGCGUGCUUAACACAUGCAAGUCGAACGGUGAAGCCCAGCUUGCUGGGUGGAUCAGUGGCGAACGGGUGAGUAACACGUGAGCAAUCUGCCCCUGACUCUGGGAUAAGCGCUGGAAACGGCGUCUAAUACUGGAUAUGAACCGUGGAGGCAUCUUCAACGGUUGGAAAGAUUUUUGGUCAGGGAUGAGCUCGCGGCCUAUCAGCUUGUUGGUGGGGUAAUGGCUCACCAAGGCGUCGACGGGUAGCCGGCCUGAGAGGGUGACCGGCCACACUGGGACUGAGACACGGCCCAGACUCCUACGGGAGGCAGCAGUGGGGAAUAUUGCACAAUGGGCGCAAGCCUGAUGCAGCAACGCCGCGUGAGGGAUGACGGCCUUCGGGUUGUAAACCUCUUUUAGCAGGGAAGAAGCGAAAGUGACGGUACCUGCAGAAAAAGCGCCGGCUAACUACGUG